This 254-nucleotide ribosomal RNA is filed under the name uncultured bacterium. Its description in RNAcentral is "partial 16S ribosomal RNA". It matches the Rfam family "Bacterial small subunit ribosomal RNA", at positions 524 to 776 of the family's 1533-position model. The record is from RNAcentral.
UACGGGGGGGGCAAGCGUUGUUCGGAAUUACUGGGCGUAAAGGGCCAGUAGGCGGCCAACUAAGUCGGAUGUGAAAUCCCCAGGCUUAACCUGGGAACUGCAUCCGAUACUGGAUGGCUUGAAUUCGGGAGAGGGAUGCAGAAUUCCAGGUGUAGCGGUGAAAUGCGUAGAUAUCUGGAGGAACACCGGUGGCGAAGGCGGCAUCCUGGACCAACACUGACGCUGAGUGAGCGAAAGCCAGGGGAGCAAACGGG